UAUUAUAGAACUAUAGUGGUUCUUCUCCCCUUCACGUCCACACAUUCAUGCAUGAGUAGUACGUAUCAAUUUUUUUUCUGAACUGUAUACGGUGCACAGUGGAUCACCGAACAGACGAUAUGAUGGACUAAUCAUGUCCGAUCGAAAGGGAAGACUCAUUAACUCACACCUGCAUACACAGAUACAGUACACCACUUAAAACGACCAAAGAUGUUUAUAUAUGACAGGGGUCGGAUAACUUGUCAACGUCCAAAAUUAUUGGAUCGCACUGCAUCUGCAAGGUGUGACAGAAAAUAAAACGAGGAGCCAAUUUGCUGCUCGUCGUGGAGAGAUGAGUCGCGUUCAACGCUGUCGCUUUAUUUCUGUGGGGGAGGAAAGGCUGUACUACCCAACCGACGACCAAGGAAUUUUCCACAGUUUUCCCUGGUACCAGGAAAUCUUCUCAGAUCACUGAAUAUAUGUGGCAAAGGCCUGAAUAGCCUGAUAAAACAAUGGAAGAAAUUAUGACUCAUGAACCAGGCCAUCCAUGAGUCGGUGACAAAUUGCCAUUGCUGCGGCUACAAAUAACGUACUUCUUUCCCAAAGGCUAGGGAAUCGAAUUGUCGAACUGGCAUCUGCAGCUUAUGUCAGGAUAUCCUCAGCUCAAC
This 647-nucleotide long non-coding RNA is filed under the name Oryza brachyantha (malo sina). RNAcentral's name for it is "long non-coding RNA (OBRA_LNC001225)". The record is from RNAcentral. Lineage: Eukaryota; Viridiplantae; Streptophyta; Magnoliopsida; Poales; Poaceae.